UACGUAGGUGGCAAGCGUUGUCCGGAUUUAUUGGGUUUACAGGGUGCGUAGGCGGCUUUGUAAGUCAGUGGUGAAAUAUGUCAGCUUAACUGAGAGGGUGCCAUUGAUACUGCAGAGCUUGAGUACAGAUGAGGUAGGCGGAAUUGACGGUGUAGAGGUGAAAUGCGUAGAUAUCGUCAAGAACACCUAUAGCGAAGGCAGCUUACUGGGCUGUAACUGACGCUGAGGCGCGAAAGUGUGGGGAUCAAACAGG
RNAcentral lists this ribosomal RNA (253 nucleotides) under uncultured bacterium. RNAcentral describes it as "partial 16S ribosomal RNA". It matches the Rfam family "Bacterial small subunit ribosomal RNA", at positions 524 to 776 of the family's 1533-position model. The record is from RNAcentral.